Amphiprion ocellaris (clown anemonefish) is the source of this 672-nucleotide long non-coding RNA. Lineage: Eukaryota; Metazoa; Chordata; Actinopteri; Pomacentridae. The record is from Ensembl.
AGCGGAUUGCGGUCGGCGGGUGAGUGCCGGCAGGUGAAGCGGAGUUCACGGCAGAAACACGGAGAGACAGAAACACCUGAGCGGGACACAAACCGAGACGAGAGGUCGGAGACAAAAAGUGAUUAGAAAGCCAAGGUUGUCAGGAUGUUCCCUCCUUCUGCUGCCGUUUCUGACACCCAGAGAGGAACUGCAAUGAGAGAAGGAAUCUGAUGCAUCAAGAGGAAUGAUGAGUGUCUCCAAGGAACUGAGCAUUUCACUUCUUCAGAAUGCAUGUUUUGGUUCUGAGAAAGCAGCAGCACACCUUAAGGUUGCCGUCAGAUGCCACAAGUCAGCUGAUAAAAGAGUCCGGCCCGGCAGCAUUCCUUCCCUACAUACCGAUCUGAUGAACCAGAUUAGCUGCUGCCUUCAUGCCUCCCUCAUUCCAGUCUCAUCAGGACUGGCUGCUGUGAAUACGUUCAUUGUCUCAGGCCAAGAAAAUCCAGACAAUCCCUUUGCAGUUGGAAGAGGAUGGGAUGUCCCGCGGAGCUUUUGUUUCCUGUGAUAGGAAACUUCAAUCACUUCAGCGCUCUGUUUUCAUUGGUCCACACAGUGUCUCAUGAAGACUCUCGAAGUGUCGUCUGAUUGGUCCCCCAAAUCCACUGAAGACCUGUCGGCCAAUCGGCUGCCAUCUGG